This 184-nucleotide unclassified non-coding RNA is filed under the name Bartonella capreoli. RNAcentral describes it as "partial 16S-23S ribosomal RNA intergenic spacer". Lineage: Bacteria; Pseudomonadati; Pseudomonadota; Alphaproteobacteria; Hyphomicrobiales; Bartonellaceae. The record is from RNAcentral.
UUGAUAAGCGUGAGGUCGGAGGUUCAAGUCCUCCCAGGCCCACCAAUUUAUGAUUGCUGAUAAGUUUUUUGUGAAUGUUUUGAUGGUCUUUUAUCUUACGAUCUUUCGCUUUUAUGUUGCAAUCUUUCAAAAGUAUUUGAACUGUUUUAGGGGCCGUAGCUCAGCUGGGAGAGCACCUGCUUUG